This 87-nucleotide transfer RNA is filed under the name Lentinula raphanica. RNAcentral describes it as "tRNA-Thr". It matches the Rfam family "tRNA". From Rfam's summary of the family: Transfer RNA (tRNA) molecules are approximately 80 nucleotides in length. Their secondary structure includes four short double-helical elements and three loops (D, anti-codon, and T loops). Further hydrogen bonds mediate the characteristic L-shaped molecular structure. tRNAs have two regions of fundamental functional importance: the anti-codon, which is responsible for specific mRNA codon recognition, and the 3' end, to which the tRNAs corresponding amino acid is attached (by aminoacyl-tRNA synthetases). tRNAs cope with the degeneracy of the genetic code in two manners: having more than one tRNA (with a specific anti-codon) for a particular amino acid; and 'wobble' base-pairing, i.e. permitting non-standard base-pairing at the 3rd anti-codon position. The record is from RNAcentral. Lineage: Eukaryota; Fungi; Basidiomycota; Agaricomycetes; Agaricales; Omphalotaceae.
GCCUUCUUAGCUCAGCGGUAGAGCGUUCCACUCGUACCGACCGACUGUGAGAUGGAAAGGUCGCUAGUUCAAGUCUGGCAGGAGGCA